UUAUAGUAACAGAGAUAUUUGAAUACCAAAAGCAAAAGUAGUUCAACAUUAAGCUAAAAUAUUCUUCUAAUACAUAAAGAGACUAGAGUACUUGGUAAAAUUCACAUAAGGAUUACUAGACUUCACAAAAGCAUAACUUCUAAUUCCACGUAGGGAUAGACUACUAGAAAGUUCACAUAAACUAAGGGCUGAGUUGAGUGUUGUUGAAGCUGCCAUCUUCAUCACUAUAAUGUCCAUCCAUGCUUCCUCCAUCAUCAUCCAUAUUUCCUGCUUCAUCAUCCAUGUUCUGCCCAUUCUCAUUUCCUUCAUCAUCUUCCAUAUCAUGUCCAUUUUCAGUUCCAUCCUCCUGGGUAUCCU
RNAcentral lists this long non-coding RNA (357 nucleotides) under Daucus carota (carrot). RNAcentral describes it as "long non-coding RNA (DCAR_LNC005615)". The record is from RNAcentral. Lineage: Eukaryota; Viridiplantae; Streptophyta; Magnoliopsida; Apiales; Apiaceae.